GUUUCUAUAGCUCAGUGGGUCGGGGCAUGCUCAAAUUCGGAAAAACGAAGGGCGUGGGUUCAAACCCCACUAGCAGCA
This 78-nucleotide transfer RNA is filed under the name Caenorhabditis brenneri. It matches the Rfam family "tRNA". From Rfam's summary of the family: Transfer RNA (tRNA) molecules are approximately 80 nucleotides in length. Their secondary structure includes four short double-helical elements and three loops (D, anti-codon, and T loops). Further hydrogen bonds mediate the characteristic L-shaped molecular structure. tRNAs have two regions of fundamental functional importance: the anti-codon, which is responsible for specific mRNA codon recognition, and the 3' end, to which the tRNAs corresponding amino acid is attached (by aminoacyl-tRNA synthetases). tRNAs cope with the degeneracy of the genetic code in two manners: having more than one tRNA (with a specific anti-codon) for a particular amino acid; and 'wobble' base-pairing, i.e. permitting non-standard base-pairing at the 3rd anti-codon position. Lineage: Eukaryota; Metazoa; Nematoda; Chromadorea; Rhabditida; Rhabditidae. The record is from Rfam by way of RNAcentral.